RNAcentral lists this ribosomal RNA (468 nucleotides) under uncultured bacterium. RNAcentral's name for it is "partial 16S ribosomal RNA". It matches the Rfam family "Bacterial small subunit ribosomal RNA", at positions 28 to 507 of the family's 1533-position model. The record is from RNAcentral.
GACGAACGCUGGCGGCGUGCUUAGCACAUGCAAGUCGAACGGAAAGGCCCUGCUUUUGUGGGGUGCUCGAGUGGCGAACGGGUGAGUAACACGUGAGUAACCUGCCCUUGACUUUGGGAUAACUUCAGGAAACUGGGGCUAAUACCGGAUAGGAGCUCCUGCUGCAUGGUGGGGGUUGGAAAGUUUCGGCGGUUGGGGAUGGACUCGCGGCUUAUCAGCUUGUUGAUGGGGUAGUGGCUUACCAAGGCUUUGACGGGUAGCCGGCCUGAGAGGGUGACCGGCCACAUUGGGACUGAGAUACGGCCCAGACUCCUACGGGAGGCAGCAGUGGGGAAUAUUGCACAAUGGGCGGAAGCCUGAUGCAGCAACGCCGCGUGCGGGAUGACGGCCUUCGGGUUGUAAACCGCUUUCGCCUGUGACGAAGCGUGAGUGACGGUAAUGGGUAAAGAAGCACCGGCUAACUACGUG